RNAcentral lists this ribosomal RNA (429 nucleotides) under uncultured bacterium. RNAcentral describes it as "bacterial SSU rRNA". It matches the Rfam family "Bacterial small subunit ribosomal RNA", at positions 355 to 776 of the family's 1533-position model. The record is from RNAcentral.
UAGGGAAUUUUCGGCAAUGGGGGGAACCCUGACCGAGCAAUGCCGCGUGAUUGAAGAAGAUCUUCGGAUCGUAAAGAUCUGUUAUUAGGGAAGAAUGGAAUUGAUAGGAAAUGAUCAAUUUAUGACGGUGCCUAAUGAGGAAGCCCCGGCUAACUAUGUGCCAGCAGCCGCGGUAAUACAUAGGGGGCGAGCGUUAUCCGGAAUUAUUGGGCGUAAAGGGUACGUAGGCGGGCCUGCAAGUCUGAUUUGAAAGCACACGGCUUAACCGUGUGAGGUAAUUAGAAACUACAGGUCUAGAGAGUGGUAGAGGUAAAUGGAAUUCCAAGUGGAGCGGUGAAAUGCGUAGAGAUUUGGAGGAACACCAGUGGCGAAGGCGGUUUACUGGGCCACAUCUGACGCUGAUGUACGAAAGCGUGGGGAGCAAACAGG